GUGCUCGAUUCGGCAGCACAUAAACUAAAAUUGGAACAAUACAGAGAAGAUUAGCAUAGCCCCUGCACAAGGAUGACAUGCAAAUUCGUGAAGCAUUCCAUACUUUU
RNAcentral lists this small nuclear RNA (107 nucleotides) under Vulpes vulpes (red fox). The record is from RNAcentral. Lineage: Eukaryota; Metazoa; Chordata; Mammalia; Carnivora; Canidae.